UAACACGUGAGCAACCUGCCUUUCAGUGGGGGACAACAUUUGGAAACGAAUGCUAAUACCGCAUAAGACCACAGUGUCGCAUGGCACAGGGGUCAAAGGAUUUAUCCGCUGAAAGAUGGGCUCGCGUCCGAUUAGCUAGAUGGUGAGGUAACGGCCCACCAUGGCGACGAUCGGUAGCCGGACUGAGAGGUUGAACGGCCACAUUGGGACUGAGACACGGCCCAG
This 225-nucleotide ribosomal RNA is filed under the name uncultured bacterium. RNAcentral describes it as "partial 16S ribosomal RNA". It matches the Rfam family "Bacterial small subunit ribosomal RNA", at positions 111 to 334 of the family's 1533-position model. The record is from RNAcentral.